AUGAACGCUGGCGGCGUGCCUAAUACAUGCAAGUCGAGCGAACAGACGAGGAGCUUGCUCCUCUGACGUUAGCGGCGGACGGGUGAGUAACACGUGGAUAACCUACCUAUAAGACUGGGAUAACUUCGGGAAACCGGAGCUAAUACCGGAUAAUAUAUUGAACCGCAUGGUUCAAUAGUGAAAGACGGUUUUGCUGUCACUUAUAGAUGGAUCCGCGCCGCAUUAGCUAGUUGGUAAGGUAACGGCUUACCAAGGCAACGAUGCGUAGCCGACCUGAGAGGGUGAUCGGCCACACUGGAACUGAGACACGGUCCAGACUCCUACGGGAGGCAGCAGUAGGCAAUCUUCCGCAAUGGGCGAAAGCCUGACGGAGCAACGCCGCGUGAGUGAUGAAGGUCUUCGGAUCGUAAAACUCUGUUAUUAGGGAAGAACAAAUGUGUAAGUAACUAUGCACGUCUUGACGGUACCUAAUCAGAAAGCCACGGCUAACUACGUG
Molecule: ribosomal RNA, 496 nt
Filed under: uncultured bacterium
Lineage: Bacteria
Description: partial 16S ribosomal RNA
Rfam family: Bacterial small subunit ribosomal RNA
Source: RNAcentral